GAAAAUGAGGAAACGAAACUUUGGAAAAAUUUACUUGAUGUUGAUUCUGAUCACAAAGACUGCCUAUUAGAUUACUUAAAUUGCAAUAAAAUUAAACAGACAACUCAGAUCCUAAGAAAUAUUUCAUUCUGAAGGAAAAACUCAGUGACAUAAGAGUGUUCUCUGAACCAGCAUCGUUCAGAAGAUCAGGCCACAGAAAGGAUGGUCCCAUUCACUUUUCCUUUUUGAUUCUGUUAUAGGAACUGAACCCAGGACCCACAACACUGAGCUUCGUCUCCAGCCCUUUUUGUAUUUUUAUUUUGAGUAGACUCCAUAUGUUACUAAGUUGGUCAAGCUGGUUUCGAAUUUGAGAUCGUCCUGCAUUAGCCUCCGAGAGUGCUGGGAUUACAAGUGUCUUCUCCCACACCUGAGCUGAAGUGUGCUGCUCCUGCAUUCAGCAGAUGGACACAUGUGAUUCUCUGAACGGCUUUCAGAUGCUAAGGUACUUUACAAACAGGAUCCAUGAUGCUUCAUUCAUUAGCUUAUAUAUCUACAGAUUAUACACAGUCUGUCAGACAUUGUACUAUAUUAGACACUAUGGCAAAAUAUAAACUGACUAUAUUAAUAAAAUGAAAACUCAUUGAAUAUUACUGCUUGCUAGAAUUUUUAACAUUUUUUUGAGACAGAGUCUUGCUAUGUAGUUUAGGCUGGCCUUGAACUCACUAUGUAGUGUUGGCUGGUCUUGAACUCAUAGUGAUCCUCCUAUCUCAGUCUCCUGAGUGCUGGGACUACAGGUAUGGGCCACCAUAUCUGACAAUAAUUUUUUACCUCACUCUUUACUUUUUCUAAAAAUACUGUGAGAUCUAGAAACUUUUAUUAUUUCCAUUUCAGAGAUGAAAAGACAGAAUCACAGAGAGAUUAGGUAAUGUCCUCAAAAACACUGUUAUGUCUUGUGUCCAGGUGUCCCCCAAAGCCUCAUGCAGUCCUAGAUGGGGACUUUGCAGAGGUGGCUAAAUCUAAUGUGUGUGAUUGAUUCAUGGUGAAAUGCUAAGAUUAAGGGUGCUAGGACUAAGGGUUUGUACUUACUAAAUCAACCCACUGCUUGGUUUAGCACUGCCCUAACCUUAGUAGCCUGGAUAUAAAGGGACAGAAAGAGCCUUGUUUUCUCCCUUGCUUGCUUUUGCUGUCUUCUGCCUGUAAUGAACUGCCCCUCCUCUGUGAUGCUCUUCUG
This 1210-nucleotide long non-coding RNA is filed under the name Chinchilla lanigera (long-tailed chinchilla). RNAcentral describes it as "lncRNA (ENSCLAG00000028121.1)". The record is from RNAcentral. Lineage: Eukaryota; Metazoa; Chordata; Mammalia; Rodentia; Chinchillidae.